RNAcentral lists this ribosomal RNA (330 nucleotides) under uncultured bacterium. RNAcentral's name for it is "bacterial SSU rRNA". It matches the Rfam family "Bacterial small subunit ribosomal RNA", at positions 1 to 334 of the family's 1533-position model. The record is from RNAcentral.
CUAGCGACUUCAGAGUUUGAUCCUGGCUCAGGAUUAACGCUGGCGGCGUGCAUAACACAUUCAAGUCGAACGGAGUGUAGCAAUACACUUAGUGGCGGACGGGUGAGUAACGCGUGAGCAAUCUACCUUCCAGUGCGGAAUAACAACCGGAAACAGUUGCUAAUACCGCAUGAAAUAGCAGUUUCGCAUGAAACAACUAUCAAAGGGCAUCUGCUGGAAGAUGAGCUUGCGUCUGAUUAGGUAGUUGGUAGGGUAACGGCCUACCAAGCCGACGAUCAGUAGCCGGACUGAGAGGUUGAACGGCCACAUUGGAACUGAGAUACGGUCCAG